UACGUAGGGAGCAAGCGUUGUCCGGAAUCAUUGGGCGUAAAGCGCGCGUAGGUGGCUUCAUAAGUCCGUUGUGAAAGUCAAAGGCUCAACCUUUGAAAGCCGAUGGAUACUGUGGAGCUAGAGUACGGAAGAGGCGAGUGGAAUUCCUGGUGUAGCGGUGGAAUGCGCAGAUAUCGGGAAGAACACCCGUGGCGAAGGCGGUUCUCUGGGACGGUACUGACGCUGAGACGCGAAAGCGUGGGGAGCGAACAGG
RNAcentral lists this ribosomal RNA (253 nucleotides) under uncultured bacterium. Its description in RNAcentral is "partial 16S ribosomal RNA". It matches the Rfam family "Bacterial small subunit ribosomal RNA", at positions 524 to 776 of the family's 1533-position model. The record is from RNAcentral.